This 1098-nucleotide long non-coding RNA is filed under the name Lepisosteus oculatus (spotted gar). Its description in RNAcentral is "lncRNA (ENSLOCG00000022845.1)". The record is from RNAcentral. Lineage: Eukaryota; Metazoa; Chordata; Actinopteri; Semionotiformes; Lepisosteidae.
GAGAAAGGGUCCCAGAGAUGAGAGGGGUGAUAAUAGUUUCCUUUUCUUCUCCUUAAAGCCCCUCAACGAAACCCCCCGAGCCCCGGAAACGCAAUCCCUAUCAGCCGAUCAAAGGCAAGCGCUGAGGAGUAUCAGAAGCAUGCAAAUUCAGUGAGCCACUCUUGGGGCCACACUAAACACUGACCUGGUAGAAAGGCAGGCAGCUCCUUGCAGAGCUCCUCAUCAGUGCCGGCCACCCCAUUCUUCAGUCCUUUUUAUAUUUUAAUGUUUGAUCAUUAAAACAGAAUCCCUUUUUACCCAGACAGCACAGAGCUGCACCUUUCACUGCCUCCUGCUCUGCGGGGAGAGCUGCCCACUUCACAGUUCAGAUGAGGUAGUCCAGAGAGAUCACCAGCCAGGGCUUCUCACUGGGACAGGAGAGCGCUACAGAUUACACUGGGACCGUGUCUUUGUGUUAAAAUAGCAAUUCAAACCAUGCACAAGAUGUUUUACAUAUUUCAAUCUCUUUCCUUUUUAAGACUUAUACAUUUGUAGGCUUUUUUUUUACUUCUUUCUCAUUAGGUUUAGUAGAUCCAUUAGCUAUUUAUCCAAUAUUCAUAAAAACAGAGUGUUAUUAAAGACUAUCUUGGUCCAACAAGCCCCUGUUUUAUUUAACCUGUACUGGACCCAAGCUGACUUGGCUGUUGGAGAUGACUGCUGGGCAUGCUCUGUUCUUUACAUGCUCUGUGUGUGUGGACAUGCUCUGUUCUUUACAUGCUCUGUGUGGGUGGGCAUGCUCUUUUCUUUAUAUGAAACAUUUGGGUGGGCAUGCUGUUCUUACAUGCUCUCUGUGGGUGGGCAUGCUCUGUUCUUUACAUGCUCUGUGUGUGGACAUGCUCUGUUCUUACAUGCUCUCUGUGGGUGGGCAUGCUCUGUUCUUUACAUGCUCUGUGUGUGGACAUGCUCUGUUCUUACAUGCUCUGUGUGGAUGGGCGUGCUCUACUCUUUACAUGCUCUGUGUGGGUGGACAGGCUCUGUCGUUUACAUGCUCUGUGUGGGAGGGCAUGCUCUGUGCCGGGCAUGCAGUCUUCCCUCACAGAACAAGCCUCACCAUUCUGU